GGAUCAUUAAAGAGUAUUCAAAACAACUCUCCCAACCCGUGUGAACCUACCCAUCGUUGCCUCGGCGGUGACGCCUACCCGGUAGCAGUUACCCUGUAGCAUCGUUACUUACCCUGUAGGGACCUACCCUGUAGCGCUUACCCUGUAGUCGGCCGCCGGUGGACUUUUUAAGCUCGUCUCUGCAGUGGCACUUCUGAAGUAUAGCAUUUUUAUGAAUAAGUCAAAACUUUCAACAACGGAUCUCUUGGUUCUGGCAUCGAUGAAGAACGCAGCGAAAUGCGAUAAGUAAUGUGAAUUGCAGAAUUUAGUGAAUCAUCGAAUCUUUGAACGCACAUUGCGCCCACCAGUAUUCUGAUGGGCAUGCCUGUUCGAGCGUCAUUACAGCACUUAAGCCUAAGUUGCUUAACGUUGGGGGCUCACCUCUGCGGGUGACCUCUUAAAGAUAUCGGCGAGGUCCGUCCGGAGACCCGAGCGUAGUAAAAUAUCCUCGCUCGGGGCCCUGUCGGCCGCUGCCACAAAUAACCUAUUCUCUAAGUUUGACCUCGGAUCAGGUAGGAAUACCCGCUGAACUUAAGCAUAUCAAUAAGCGGAGGAAAAGAAACCAACAGGGAUUCCCCUAGUAACGGCGAGUGAAGCGGGAACAGCUCAAAUUUGAAAGCUGGCCUUCUGGUCCGCGUUGUAAUUUGUAGAGGAUGCUUUUGGCGCGGUGCCUUCUGAGUCCAUUGGAACAUGGCGCCUCAGAGGGUGAGAGCCCCGUACAGUUGGACACCAAGCCUCCGUAAAGCUCCUUCGACGAGUCGAGUAGUUUGGGAAUGCUGCUCUAAAUGGGAGGUAAAUUUCUUCUAAAGCUAAAUACCGGCCAGAGACCGAUAGCGCACAAGUAGAGUGAUCGAAAGAUGAAAAGCACUUUGAAAAGAGGGUUAAACAGCACGUGAAAUUGUUGAAAGGGAAGCGCUUAUGACCAGACCUUCUCCUGGCGGAUCAUCCGGCGUUCUCGCCGGUGCACUUCGCCAGGUCUAGGCCAACAUCGAUUCGCGCCGGGGGAUAAAGGCCUCGGGAAUGUGACUCCCUUCGGGGAGUGUUAUAGCCCGUCGUACAAUACCCCGGGGCGGAUCGAGGCUCGCGCU
Molecule: ribosomal RNA, 1127 nt
Filed under: Xylariomycetidae sp. genotype 605
Lineage: Eukaryota; Fungi; Ascomycota; Sordariomycetes
Description: eukaryotic LSU rRNA
Rfam family: Eukaryotic large subunit ribosomal RNA (bases 538-1127)
Source: RNAcentral